Molecule: microRNA, 21 nt
Filed under: Xenopus tropicalis (tropical clawed frog)
Lineage: Eukaryota; Metazoa; Chordata; Amphibia; Anura; Pipidae
Description: xtr-miR-92b (mir92b)
Source: RNAcentral
UGCACUCGUCCCGGCCUCCUG